This 253-nucleotide ribosomal RNA is filed under the name uncultured bacterium. RNAcentral's name for it is "partial 16S ribosomal RNA". It matches the Rfam family "Bacterial small subunit ribosomal RNA", at positions 524 to 776 of the family's 1533-position model. The record is from RNAcentral.
UACGUAGGGGGCUAGCGUUGUCCGGAAUCAUUGGGCGUAAAGCGCGUGUAGGCGGUCCGGUAAGUCCGCUGUGAAAGUCGGGGGCUCAACCCUCGAAUGCCGGUGGAUACUGUCGGGCUAGAGUUCGGUAGGGGAGACUGGAAUUCCUGGUGUAGCGGUGAAAUGCGCAGAUAUCAGGAGGAACACCGGUGGCGAAGGCGGGUCUCUGGGCCGAUACUGACGCUGAGGAGCGAAAGCGUGGGGAGCAAACAGG